UAACAUUUGAGUUAAGUUGAAAAAAGCCAGAAAGGUGGAGAUGAGGAGGGAGAAAUUCCAGCAAAGACAUCAACUAGUGAAAAAGCAUAGAGUUGGAAGAUGGCUUGUUGAAUUUGAAGAAUUGCAAAAAGAAUCCGUGCCUAAGGACCCUUGACCUGGUUCUACUAGAGUAGUCUGAAGUGUGGGAAUUGUCAAACAUCACAUAAAAGAGGAGAAAACUGAAGCCCCAAAAGAAGGGUAUGACUGGAGAAGGUAUGAGAAGUACAACAAUUUGGAGAUCUACCAGAACAUAAUGAAAAACACAUUUUAGUUUUGUCUUAAAUUCGUGGUUACAAAGCACAGUCACACAUUAACUUCGUUUAAUCUUCUCACACCACCCUUUCUUAAUGAUUUUAUUAAUGAGCUUUAUUAAUGAUUUUCUCUUACAGACAUGUAAACAGAGACUUUGAGAAGCAGGUCAAGUGUCCAUGGUCACAAAGCCAGUUAUGUGGCAGGGUCUAGACUUGAAUCCAGGACUUUUUAAUUCCAUGGCCAAUGCUAU
Non-coding RNA from Phascolarctos cinereus (koala), 541 nucleotides. The record is from RefSeq and is a predicted model, not a curated record. Lineage: Eukaryota; Metazoa; Chordata; Mammalia; Diprotodontia; Phascolarctidae.